This 2549-nucleotide long non-coding RNA is filed under the name Medicago truncatula (barrel medic). RNAcentral describes it as "long non-coding RNA (MTRU_LNC004574)". The record is from RNAcentral. Lineage: Eukaryota; Viridiplantae; Streptophyta; Magnoliopsida; Fabales; Fabaceae.
ACAUAAUUUGUUUACCAUUUAUAUGAAAUAAUUUUUUGUUUUACCCUUUUAAGAUAGAAAAAGGAAAUUUUUUGUCAAGUUGUUCCUUUGAUCACCUUGAGAUCGUAUGCGCUACGUGAUACAAGGUCGUCAUGUUGCUCCAUAUGUAUUUUAUCACAUAAUAAACAUGUGAAAUUAACAUAAGAAAAAAGAUGAAUGUUUCAUUAAAAGAUAGAGAAAACUUACUAUUGUUUUAUCAUAGUGUACAGAAUCGACUAUAAAUUAACGUAAACGCUAGCCGAUCUUUAAUUUCAAACGGACACUUAGAGGUGGGAAAAAUUGGAAAAGGUGGGGUUUUUUCCAGUCUAUAAUUUCAUUAGGUGCGCUCUUUGUAUUAUUUUUUAUUUUAUUCUAUUAGAUGUCUAUACUUACAGGCGCAUCCGUAGGUAAAGCUUUUCAAUACCUACUGUUUUUCGUUCGUAACUAUAAACCUCUGUAGAUAUAAGGCAAUUUUCUUGUAGUGUUAUUUCAGGUUGCAACAUGUUUUAUCAUCUUUUUCUGUAUUUACAAUAUACUCUGCUUCUCAGUGCUUAAGUUUUAGCUACACUAUUUGUGAGUGUCUUAUAAUUUGGUGAUUUAUUGCUUGUUUUUUCGUUCACCUCAUUCUAUAUUUUUUUAUUUGUCCAAUCUCUUAGAACAUCUAGAAGGGUAUAACUUCAUUUUUUUUUAGUACUUAAGUGGUUCGUUAAGAGUUUUUUUUAUUGGUUCAUCUAUAACUACAAUUGUGAGGUAUUAAGAAUUUUUUGAUUCUACUCAAUAAAAAACUCAAUAUUAAUAUGAUCAAGUCUAUGAUGCACUAGAAAAUAAAUCUUACACUAUAUAUAACAUUGUUUCAGUUCAAUAAAUCUCAUCAUUAAAAUGAAAUAUGAUUUGAUUUAUUGAUUCAAGAGUAAAAAAUAAAUUUAUGGAUAAUGCAACAAUAAUUUAUGUCUGCCUGUCAGACAAAGCCCGUUAACUAUUGUCGGGCAAAAAUAAGUUGCAGCCUCCUUUUGUGAGAAACAAAGAGAGGAUUUAUAGAGAUUUUUGAAAAAGUAACAACCAAGUUGACUAAUGUAGAUUAUUUCUCUUAAUUUCAUUAUCAAAGUAAAAGAUACUCUAAUCUUUAAUGGGUUAAACAUGUUUUGGGUCAUUAUAAAUAUAACGAGUUUUGCUUUUAAUCUUUAUAAAAAAAUGCAUGUUUACGUCCCUAUUAAAUUUCUAAGCAUGUAAUUUUCGUCUCUACUAAACUCAUAUUUGUUUAAUAUAAAAUUUUAAAUUUAUGAAUUAAUUUUGCAGGCAUGUUUAACACAUUAUAAAAGUUCUUCCACAAAAAAUAAGUUCAAAAUUUUUAUUACUUUUUAUCCUAAACUUUUGACGAUUAAAAAUUUCAUAUUCAAUUCAUUGCAUAUUAAAAACAUCUAUUUUUUAAAAAGAGUUUCUUAUAAUGUUCUUUAACAUACUUUUAACAAAACACACUCAAAACUUUAAAAAUCUAAGUAUAAUUAUAAGGACUAAAAACGAAUUUAUAAGUAUCAAAAGCUUAUUCUACCCAUCUUUUAUCAACACCGAUGAUGAAAGAAGGUUCAUCGUUCCGCUGGCUCGAAUCAUAUUUUAGUUUAGUGAUCGAUAUGUGAAUAAUAAUAAUUAUUAAGUUGUUGGUCCAAUGUUGGAUUUUCGGUGGUUACUGGAAGGAGAUUGAUGAUGAUGAUGAAAUUAAACUAACAUAGGGAAGUGGCUUAGAUGUUGUGUUUUAGCUUUCAUAAAAAAUGAGUGUCGAAGGGUGUUUCGGUUUUUUGUGUGAAAAAUGAUUGUUUCUUGCUUGCUGAGUAAAUAUAUUUCACAUUUAUUUUCUUACUAUGCCUACUUCUUCUUUGGUGGGAGUAUAUAUAUAGAGUAAACGAGGGGAUAAGGAUUGAAGAAUGGUGCCAAAAUAUAAGGCUAAAAGAGUAAUUUGAUAGACUAUAGAAGUUGUGAAGGUAGAGGUAGUACUAUAAAUAUAUGUUGUUGGAGAAAAUUCGGAAAAAGGAAACAGUAAAGAAGAAAGACAAAUUGACAUGAAACUCAAUGUGAGAAAACCUGUUAGAGAUGGUUAAUGGAUUAAGAUAUAAAUGUGCAGCUCUCUUUGUUUACAUUUUGCUUCCCUCUUCUAUGUUUUUUCGAGUACCUAUCAAAUUAGUCUUCGAUAUUGUUAGAUAAUCUCGAGUAAGUCAUUGAAGUUACAGUAUCCGCGAGUUUAACUUACUUGAUAAAGGAUAAUGCAUAUAUAUGCAGGGGUUGAGGUUCGAACCCCGGAUACACCACUUAUUUACCUUUAAGAUGAAUUUCUCACCGCUAAGCUACUUGAUAAAAAAAAAAAAGCUAAUUCAAUGAAUAUGAUUUGAUAAUCACUUGAUGACUAGUUCAAAUCGAACAGUGUUUCAGUAAACUCAUUAUUUUUUUAAUAAUAUGCUAGGACAUCUAGUGUAAAUCAUAUUAAUUUUUUGGUACAGUGGCACGCUCAAUGUGUGAGCAAUUUGGCAAUUUGCAAAAUU